RNAcentral lists this ribosomal RNA (597 nucleotides) under uncultured bacterium. RNAcentral's name for it is "bacterial SSU rRNA". It matches the Rfam family "Bacterial small subunit ribosomal RNA", at positions 338 to 951 of the family's 1533-position model. The record is from RNAcentral.
CCUACGGGAGGCAGCAGUAAGGAAUCUUCCACAAUGGACGAAAGUCUGAUGGAGCAACGCCGCGUGCAGGAUGAAGGCUUUCGGGUCGUAAACUGCUUUUAUAUGGGAAGAUUAUGACGGUACCAUAUGAAUAAGGACCGGCUAACUACGUGCCAGCAGCCGCGGUAAUACGUAGGGUCCAAGCGAUAUCCGGAAUUACUGGGCGUAAAGCGUGUGUAGGUGGAUUAAUAAGUGUGAUGCGAAAUCCGGCGGCUCAACCGUUUGGACUGUGUCGCAUACUGUUAGUCUAGAGGACGGCAGAGGUAAGUGGAAUUACGGGUGUAGCAGUGAAAUGCGUAGAUAUCCGUAGGAACACCAAUGGCGAAGGCAGCUUACUGGGCCACACCUGACACUGAGACACGAAAGCGUGGGGAGCGAACAGGAUUAGAUACCCUGGUAGUCCACGCCGUAAACGAUGCAUACUAUUAGUAUGGGGUAUCGACCCCCUGUGCUGAGAAGCUAACGCGAUAAGUAUGCCGCCUGGGGAGUACGAGCGCAAGCUUAAAACUUAAAGAGAAUGACGNGNGAGAGCGACGACGACGACGACGAGGGAGGAGG